GACGAACGCUGGCGGCGUGCUUAACACAUGCAAGUCGAACGGAAAGGCCCUGCUUGUGUGCGGUGCUCGAGUGCCGGACGGGUACGUAACACGUGUGUAACCUGCCCUUGUUUUUGGGGUAACUUCAGGAAGCUGGGCCUACUCCCGGAUAGGAUCUCCUGCUCCAUUGUGGGGGUGGGAACGUUUCGGCGGGUGGGGAUGGACUCGCGGCUUAUCGGCUUGCUGGUUGGGGAGUGGUUUACCCAGUCUUUGGCGGGUAGCCGACCUGAGAGGGUGACCGGCCACAUGGGGACUGAGGUACGGCCCAGACUCGAACGGGAGGCAGCAGGGGGGAACAUUGCACAAUGGGAGGGAGCCGGAGGCAGCAACGCCGCGUGCGUGAAGACCGCUUGCUGGUUGUAAACCGCUGCCGCCUGAGACGACGCGGUAGUGACGGUAAUGGGUGAAGAAGCACCGGCUAACUACGUG
RNAcentral lists this ribosomal RNA (468 nucleotides) under uncultured bacterium. RNAcentral's name for it is "partial 16S ribosomal RNA". It matches the Rfam family "Bacterial small subunit ribosomal RNA", at positions 28 to 507 of the family's 1533-position model. The record is from RNAcentral.